AUGCUAUGUUAUGGAGAAUUCAAUAGCUUCGUAUUGGUAAAUGCGUUAAGCAGAAAAAAUGAAACCCAUUCUCUUGAUUGUCAAGACAACUCUGAUCAGUGUCCUCUCCUGGUUCAAGAGGUGAGCAUGAUGGGGACCCCCUCUCCUCCUCCUUCGGUCCAGUGCAAAUUGUGCGGCAAUGAGGCCCAUAAGAUCUUUGACAGUGACAUAUAUCUUGUACAUCAAACUGUCUUUGGAAUAUGGCAGGGAAAGCAUCUUCUUGUUUAUCUAAUUUCAGCACCACAGUACUAUUGGGGAUCUUAA
RNAcentral lists this ribosomal RNA (303 nucleotides) under Triticum aestivum (bread wheat). RNAcentral describes it as "partial small subunit ribosomal RNA". Lineage: Eukaryota; Viridiplantae; Streptophyta; Magnoliopsida; Poales; Poaceae. The record is from RNAcentral.